This 253-nucleotide ribosomal RNA is filed under the name uncultured bacterium. RNAcentral describes it as "partial 16S ribosomal RNA". It matches the Rfam family "Bacterial small subunit ribosomal RNA", at positions 524 to 776 of the family's 1533-position model. The record is from RNAcentral.
UACGUAGGGCGCCAGCGUUGUCCGGAAUCAUUGGGCGUAAAGAGCUCGUAGGUGGUCUGUUACGUCUGCUGUGAAAUCCUAGGGCUUAACCCUGGGCCUGCAGUGGAUACGGGCAGACUAGAGGUAGGUAGGGGAGAAUGGAAUUCCCGGUGUAGCGGUGAAAUGCGCAGAUAUCGGGAGGAACACCGGUGGCGAAGGCGGUUCUCUGGGCCUUACCUGACACUGAGGAGCGAAAGCGUGGGGAGCGAACAGG